AUGCACUGGCAGCAUGCUCACGCAGUGUGGGGGGUUGUGCACUGGCAGCACGCUCAGCGCAGCGUUUGUGUAGGCAGUGUGCACGUGGCGGGUGUGCACUGGCAGCGUACUCAGUGUUUGGAGGCAGUGCACUGGCAGUCAGUGCACUGGCAGUGUGCUCAGUGCAGCGUGAGGCAGUGUCCAGGCAGCAUGCUGGCAGUGUGCAUGGGACAGUACACAGGCAGGGUGCUCAGUGCAGCGCAACAGGCAGCGUGGGGCACUGCACAGCAGUGCACGGGCAGUGUGCACGGGGCAGCACAGAGGCAGUGUGCUCAGUGCGGUGCAAGCAGGCAGCACACUCACGGGGUAGGCAGUGGGCAGGCAGCACACAGCCAGCGUGCUGGCAGUGCCCAUGGGCUGCUGUGCUCAGAGGGUACCUGGGAAGUGCAGUGUGCACUGGCAGGGCAGUGCGUGGCCCCCGCACCACGCACGCCGCACGCAGCAAACGACCCAGUUCCUCAGCCGUCCCCUUGGGCCCUCUCCAGGGCAGCACAGCCCAGGUCAUGCGCCGUCCCCGUCACACGCAGGAACGCUCUCGCGGUGCUCACCCGACCGUGCUCACCCGACUCGCAGCCGAGCGGUGCCCCUGGGAGACGGGCGCCCCUGUGCUGCGUCCCCAGAGCAGUGUGCUCUGCGGCGGCUCCCACUCAGCCCUGCUGCUUGAGGGCACGGUGGUGCCCAUGGGGGGCUCCGAGACAACCCCCCUCCCCCCGGCACCUGGCUUGGAGAUGCUGCCAGUGCCACGUGCACUGCAUCCCAGUGCCUCCCCGCUGCAGGCCCGGCCUCUGGCUCCUCCGCCCGGUGCACAGCCUCUCCCGGUGCUGGGCCCCCCAGACACAGCGGGUGCUGGCAGAAAGGACUGUUUCCCGUGACGCUGGCUGGCUUCUGGGCAGGCAAAGGGCAGGCACCAGCCCCAGGUCCAGGGUAGGGACAGAGCCAGACAGGGGGUUGGGGUGUCCUGGAGCAGUGUGCUGGCAGUGGAGGUCCUGCGGGUGCAGGCAUGGUGGAGGGUCGUGUUUGGCAGAGGUGUUUGUGCAUCGUGGGCACCCCAGUGGGAUUAGAUGCGGGGGUUGGCUCUUGGGUAUAAUGUUCCUGUUGUGCCCUUGUCCUGCCGGAGCAGCAGCCCGGACAGUGGGGACAUGCAGGGCACUGCAGCUCUGGGACAAACCAUCUGGAUCUUCCCCAGGGCAAGGACACGGGGGUGACGCUGCCGGGCACGGGGCUUGCUCUCUCCCUGUAUGCCUGGCGUGCCGCCGCAGGGUUGCUUGA
This 1308-nucleotide long non-coding RNA is filed under the name Apteryx haastii (Great spotted kiwi). RNAcentral's name for it is "lncRNA (ENSAHAG00000012037.1)". Lineage: Eukaryota; Metazoa; Chordata; Aves; Apterygiformes; Apterygidae. The record is from RNAcentral.